RNAcentral lists this long non-coding RNA (5108 nucleotides) under Sus scrofa (pig). Its description in RNAcentral is "lncRNA (ENSSSCG00055016277.1)". Lineage: Eukaryota; Metazoa; Chordata; Mammalia; Artiodactyla; Suidae. The record is from RNAcentral.
CGCAGAUGCAGCUUGGAAUCCUUGUGGCUGUGGCUGUGAGGUAGGCGGGCAGCUGCAGCUCUGGUUCUACCCCUAGCCUGGGAACCUCCAUAGGCUGUGGGUGUGGCCCAAAAAAGACCAAAAAAAAAAAAAAAGAAGAAAAAGAAAUAGACCAGCCGGCUUUCAGGGAGCUUCCAGUCUGUUGGGAAGGACAGACCCCAAAGGGGCAGUGACUGGCAGCGAUGUUAUUAGAGGGAGGAGGGGGUGUUGGCCUUGGUCCCUGGGAAGGGCCCCCUCGGCUGAGAUUCAGCACUGAGUGUCCCGCCAGCAUCUUGCAGAAAUCAGCCAGGGGUCUCUGCGCCUCCAGCACUGGGGAGCAGGAUGGGAGCCGUAUUGUUUUCUGGGCCUCUGUCCUUAGCAACAUGCAUUCACCUGGCGCCGUUAGUGCAUUCUUCUUCCAAACAAACAGCUUUCAGGAAGAGUUAAUAAAUUAAUCUUCUGGGAACAGAAGCUGCCGAAGCGCCAGCGAGGCCUUCAGCAGCCUGGCCGGCUGCGGGCUUGGCUCGUAGGGUCCAACCCGCAUUGAUGGUGGUGUGUGGGCGCUGAUGAGGUUUGGGCAGCUGGCUCCUGGCCUCAAACACCGGGCCCUCCGUGUGGCUCGGUUCUGGAAGGGGAAGGACAGCCAGUGUGAAGCUGGGCCCCAUCACAGCCCCGAGAGGAGACAAGCUUAUUUCAGAGAUGAGGAAUCUGACACCCAGGUUAAGACUGAGUCUGAGCUACCUUCUGUGGAGGCCAGGGUUGUGGGUUCUGCUGCUUCUUUACCAUUUAGGAGGCCUUCCUCCCCCCUUUUUUUUGCUUUUGAUGCACCUGUGGCAUAUGGAGGUUCCCAGGCUAGAGGUUGAAUCAGAGCUGUGGCCGCCGGCCACAGCCACAGUCACAGACACAGCUUGGAUCUGGCGUUGCUGUGGCUGUGGUGUAGGCUGGCAGCCACAGCUCCAAUUUGACCCUUAGCCUGGGACCUUCCGUGUGCUGCAGGUGUGGCCGUUAAAAGAACCCCCCCCACGGAAAAAGAAUGGUCACCCUUACAAUUCGUGGGGCUCCGGGUCCGUCAGAUGUGGUAGAGCCUGUUUCUCAAGCGCUUGCAUGAUGACUGGUGGUGUGGCACUUGCUUCGGACAUGUCUGCUAAAUUCAAUCCUCAACAAAAUCAAAUCCACCCAUUUCUGAUGCGAAACCUCAGCUCCUCUCCAGCCAAGCCGCUGGUCGGUGGCAGAGUUUCCGGCUCCAAGGGGUUGGGGGGCCCUUGCGAGGGAGAGAGGCUCUCAGACCUUGUCUCUGUUCCCUGGUGCCCACCUCAGACGGGCUGAUGGUGUGGGUCUUUGGCCCUUCCCUGUGCCUCUGGAACGAGACCACUUUCUUUCUUCUAGUGGUCACCAAGCUGCCGCCUGCGAGUUUUCUGGACACUUGCGGCUGAACUGUGUUCCGAUCGAAAGAAACGCAAUUACUCUCGGAGACUCGAGGGCAAUUGUGAACACUUGCAGCCUUGCCUUCUUGCUCGAUACUCGCUUGGAGGGGCUCUCCUGAGAGGGCUGGAAAGCCAUCUCUGGCUGGAGAGCGAUCUGGACAGCCUCGGCUCUGUGCCGGGGAUGCACCGGCAGCUCUUCGCCUCUCUCAGGGCGGGGCAGAGUUAUUUUCACUCAGGCGUGGAUGGGGGACUUGACUCAGGACAGAGGUGACAUCCCGCCUCUUUCAGGUGCGAGCCAAUUUGUCGAAAGGUAGCAGAGGGGAUUGUUAGGGAUGCCAGGCAGUUUGGAGUGUCCUCCAGGGAGAGAACCUGAAGGGGGGAGGCGCCUUCAGAUGUUCCGCGCCCUUUUGCAAAGCGCUGGGAGGGUCAGCAGUUCCUACCCUGAGAAUCUCAUCAAAGAGCUAAGUGAUGCCCAGAGGGAUGCCUAGUUCUCCCAGAAUGCUGAGUCCCAAGCUUUCUUCUUGUUGAAAUAGGCGGCGCGGGGCGGGGUGCCUCUCACCCCCAUCUUAAGGUGCAGAUAGAAAGAAUGCUAAGCACACUCGUGCUGUCUUUGUGCCCAAGCUGGGUGAGGGGAGGGGACCCAAGGAGGGUGGCCCAGGGAGGGAGAGGGAAGAGACCUGGGGGCAGCGGUCUGGGCCCGGUGGUGGUCAUUCCCUCCCCAGCGAUGGACAUGGGCCCUCUGAGCCUCCCCCUCGCUGGCUCUCUGCGAGCGUUUCUUCCAUCACAGUGGCGUUUCUUCUGCCCCCUCACCCAGCCCUCCUGACUCUGCACCACCCACCUGGGCCCAAGGGAGGUGGAUGGAAAGGUCCUUCCAUGGCUCCCUUACUUUCAUCUCUAAUGGGGAGCCUUGGAUUUGGAGUUGGCGGCCCGGGGGCGGGGGUUCUAGCUGCUCCCUGUGGACCCCAGAGCUCAGCCAGACAGGCUGGGACAAGGGGGCCAGGCGCCUCUGACUGCAGCUUCUGCACCGGCCGUGUGCUUGUUGAGCUCGUGCCCAUGGCUCCCAGGCCUGAUCUCUCAGUUAUUACUGCGCACAGCCAAGCAGACAGCAGCGGUAAUUAUCAGCACUUUGAGAGCUGCCAUUCGCCUCGCUCGGCAAGGUGACUCAGAACAUUAGAUCAGAAUUAGAGAAGGAGAAAAAAACGAUCCAGCGAAGCCCCCCCGACCCCACCCCACCCUUGUGUGAUCUCCGGCUCUCAAGCCCACCGAAGCACUCACUUUGGAGACAGAGCUCUGUCACACUGGUGUUCACUCUGCCCUUUCUCCUGGAUGAGGCACGUAGGGUUCCCUGCAGUGGAAGGGGCUGCCUUGUCAUCUGGCUCACGCCUGCACCUCUGGGAGCCAUCAGGUUUGUGCUGAAGGAGCCCUGGGGAGAGGCGGCAAGCUGGAGAGGGAGACGUGGUCACCGGAGGCAAGGCGGGAGCCCUGCUGUUGACUCUUCUGAUUUGUCUAUUGUGUUGACCUGGGAUGCUUUGCUCUAGUUUCAAAUUUUAAGCUCCAUGAGGGUAGAACAGGCUCGGUCUGGCUCACAGCUGCACCUCCAGAACCUGGAGCUGAGCCCAGGUAGUGCUUGUGGGAGCAGGAUUCGGGACUGGCUCCAGUGUGCCAGAGGCAGGGAGCCCCUUGCCAGCAACUACUGCCCCCCCCCGGGGGGGGGUAGGAGGCAAACACACUGGGGCUGUCUGCUGGGGUGUCCUCUGCACUUUCUGCUCAGGGAUUGGCCUGCAGAGCCUGACUAAGGAUGGAAAAUUUUAUUCUUGCUUCAGGAAAGCGCAAGAAAAAUAUUUGUUCCCAUCAUCAAAGUGGAAAUUUAAGUCAAUGACAAUGGAAACUAUUUCUGGCCAUUCACAGACUAGGAAGAGAAGGGAGUGGGUCGAUUCAAAACAGGGUGGAAGAAUUCAGGCACUGAAAACUGUAAAUUUUAGGGGUGAAAUAACAGCACAGAAAUAAAAACUCACCAAGGGAACAUAAACCAGCCCUUUUGUCAAGCAGACAGGGCAAACCCCGUCCUAUUUCCUGGUUUGAGCUGGGCUGCAGAGGUGAGGGGCAGCAGGGGGAACUUCUAAGGGAGAAGCGCUGGGGUUUCCUCCCCCUCCUGCACACGACUUGUUGACAUCAGGCAGCUUUUCAGGGCGUCCGGUCACCCAUGCACGCCUGUCUCCUUCAUCCCCACCCUCUGAAAACCCUAUUUUGGCGGAGUCUCUGGGGUAGAUGGACACCAGAGGGUUUCCAGGUGAAAAUGCGAGGGGCGCCCAGCAGUGAGCCAAAGCUUGCCUGGGAGUUGGGUGUUUUGUGGGUUCAAAUCGGGCUGGGAAGGAAGCAGCUGACUAGAAUAAUCUGGAGGGGGGCAGGGGAGAUAGAUGAAGUAAGAUGGACCCUGCAUUGGGGGUGAUUGGUCUGGGGUGCUGGCUCCUAUAGGGUUCAUUUUAUGACUCUGUUUAAUUUGGCUAAUGUUCAUCCAUGUCCAUAAUCAAAAGUCACAAAAUACAAGAAGCAGCUGACCCCCCGUUUCCCUCCUUGGGCACCAUCCCCUAGUGGAGGUCUCUUUCCUCUUUUGUUCUAUGUAGACUGACUCUCCCAAGACCCGGGUCCCAAAUCCUGCAGGAAUGUGGAAAGGAAAAAAUGUGAGACAGACUUUUAUCAGGGUUUGCAUUGAGCGCUUUAGUUUUUUCCAUGGCCUUUUGGAGAUCCACUUCUGAGAAGCAGCGAGGGUUUUCCCUGUUCCCAAGGUACACGUCCAGGAACAUACUGAGGCCAGCUGGACACCUGGUGGGGGCUCCCAAGUCCACGUUCCCAGCUCCACUGGGGGCCUCUGGUACUGCCCCCCUCGGGCCAUGUCCCCUCCUCUGGUGGGUGCCCCUUCCUCAAUGGUAGUGCCUGGGUUCGGGCUCAGAGGGGCUGCCGUGCCUGCAGGAGCGGGGGCUGUGCUGCCCCCACUGCCUGGAGGGGCCGUUGUUCAAGCCAGCACUUUGCAGCCUCCACAGGAGGGGUUCCACAUUGCAUAGGCGGCCAGAACAGGACGGGCUGGGCGAACCUUUUUGCCCAUGUUGUGCAGAGAGGCCUUCUGCCUGGACCCUGGGGUGGCUGUAGCAUAAACGCUCGCGCAUGCGAAGGGGUCGUCUUUGAAUUCCUGUGUGAAUCCAUCAUGUAUUCACGGCCCCCAUUUGUUCCUGCCCUACAAGGAGCUCUCUUCCCAACCUCGUUCUUGUAUAUGAUUUUCUUUUUGGUGGCGGCCCCAUUGACCAGGUAAUUAUUUGGCAGCUGAAUCGAGGCAGCCUUCUCCUUGCUCGCUUCCGCUCUCUCCUCUAGGUCACAGCUCAUGGGCACAGUACAGAGGUCAGGUGCGUACGGCCUGAGUCUGUCCUGGCCCCGCCGACUCAGAACGCAAGUCUGAGAAGACCUAGCAGUGGUCACAGACCCGGCUGCGGUGGCGUCCCCCUCUUUCACCGUCUCCAUUGCCCGAGUUGGCCUCAUGCCCAUUUCUUCCCUGCCAUUGGCACUCUCUCCCAGUGGGGCACCUCCUCAGCCUCUCUUCCUGUCCCUUUACCAGGUGGCCACCGAGGAGCAUUUUAUGAAGAUGCAAAUCUGGAGGCCGUGAUGGAGGAUAAU